UAGAGUUUGAUCCUGGCUCAGAACGAACGCUGGCGGCAGGCCUAACACAUGCAAGUCGAACGCCCCGCAAGGGGAGUGGCAGACGGGUGAGUAACACGUGGGAACCUUCCCUAUAGUACGGAAUAGCCCAGGGAAACUUGGAGUAAUACCGUAUACGCCCGAAAGGGGAAAGAAUUUCGCUAUAGGAUGGGCCCGCGUAGGAUUAGCUAGUUGGUGAGGUAAUGGCUCACCAAGGCGACGAUCCUUAGCUGGUUUGAGAGAACGACCAGCCACACUGGGACUGAGACACGGCCCAGACUCCUACGGGAGGCAGCAGUGGGGAAUAUUGGACAAUGGGCGCAAGCCUGAUCCAGCCAUGCCGCGUGAGUGAUGAAGGCCUUAGGGUUGUAAAGCUCUUUUGCCGGGGACGAUAAUGACGGUACCCGGAGAAUAAGUCCCGGCUAACUUCGUGCCAGCAGCCGCGGUA
This 466-nucleotide ribosomal RNA is filed under the name uncultured bacterium. RNAcentral's name for it is "bacterial SSU rRNA". It matches the Rfam family "Bacterial small subunit ribosomal RNA", at positions 1 to 522 of the family's 1533-position model. The record is from RNAcentral.